This 470-nucleotide ribosomal RNA is filed under the name uncultured Thauera sp. Its description in RNAcentral is "bacterial SSU rRNA". It matches the Rfam family "Bacterial small subunit ribosomal RNA", at positions 910 to 1382 of the family's 1533-position model. Lineage: Bacteria; Pseudomonadati; Pseudomonadota; Betaproteobacteria; Rhodocyclales; Zoogloeaceae. The record is from RNAcentral.
UUGACGGGACCCGCACAAGCGGUGGAUGAUGUGGAUUAAUCGAUAGCCAACGCGAAAACCUUACCUACCCUUGACAUGUCUGGAACCUUGCUGAGAGGCGAGGGUGCCUUCGGGAGCCAGAACACAGGUGCUGCGUGGCUGUCGUCAGCUCGUGUCGUGAGAUGUUGGGUUAAGUCCCGCAACGAGCGCAACCCUUGUCAUUAGUUGCCAUCAUUUAGUUGGGCACUCUAAUGAGACUGCCGGUGACAAACCGGAGGAAGGUGGGGAUGACGUCAAGUCCUCAUGGCCCUUAUGGGUAGGGCUUCACACGUCAUACAAUGGUCGGUACAGAGGGUUGCCAAGCCGCGAGGUGGAGCCAAUCCCUUAAAGCCGAUCGUAGUCCGGAUCGUAGUCUGCAACUCGACUACGUGAAGUCGGAAUCGCUAGUAAUCGCAGAUCAGCAUGCUGCGGUGAAUACGUUCCCGGGUCUU